Molecule: ribosomal RNA, 253 nt
Filed under: uncultured bacterium
Lineage: Bacteria
Also listed under: 2 other names
Description: partial 16S ribosomal RNA
Rfam family: Bacterial small subunit ribosomal RNA
Source: RNAcentral
UACAGAGGGUGCGAGCGUUAAUCGGAUUUACUGGGCGUAAAGCGUGCGUAGGUGGCCAAUUAAGUCAAAUGUGAAAUCCCCGAGCUUAACUUGGGAAUUGCAUUCGAUACUGGUUGGCUAGAGUAUGGGAGAGGAUGGUAGAAUUCCAGGUGUAGCGGUGAAAUGCGUAGAGAUCUGGAGGAAUACCGAUGGCGAAGGCAGCCAUCUGGCCUAAUACUGACACUGAGGUACGAAAGCAUGGGGAGCAAACAGG